AGCGAACGCUGGCGGCAGGCCUAACACAUGCAAUUCGAACGAACCUUUCGGGGUUAGUGGCGGACGGGUGAGUAACACGUGGGAACGUGCCUUUAGGUUCGGAAUAACUCAGGGAAACUUGUGCUAAUACCGAAUGUGCCCUUCGGGGGAAAGAUUUAUCGCCUUUAGAGCGGCCCGCGUCUGAUUAGCUAGUUGGUUGAGGUAAUGGCUCACCAAGGCGACGAUCAGUAGCUGGUCUGAGAGGAUGAUCAGCCACAUUGGGACUGAGACACGGCCCAAACUCCUACGGGAGGCAGCAGUGGGGAAUCUUGCGCAAUGGGCGAAAGCAUGACGCAGCCAUGCCGCGUGAAUGAUGAAGGUCUGAGGAUUGUAAAAUUCUUUCACCGGGGACGAUAAUGACGGUACCCGGAGAAGAAGCCCCGGCUAACUUCGUG
Molecule: ribosomal RNA, 434 nt
Filed under: uncultured bacterium
Lineage: Bacteria
Description: partial 16S ribosomal RNA
Rfam family: Bacterial small subunit ribosomal RNA
Source: RNAcentral